This is an RNA transcript of Xenia sp. Carnegie-2017, 915 nucleotides long. RefSeq lists it as uncharacterized. The transcript is spliced from 6 exons. The record is from RefSeq and is a predicted model, not a curated record. Lineage: Eukaryota; Metazoa; Cnidaria; Anthozoa; Malacalcyonacea; Xeniidae.
AAAUACAUGUAGUAAUACAUUAGGCCAAACUUUGCAUAAGGUUGUUUCCUUAUAAUUUCAGGCAUGCUACUGCUUCCAAUUGAAAAUUAUUAUUUUUUAAUAGUUGUUAAAUAGUCAUCCAUUAUUUUGUAUAAACAGAUAGUAAAGAUUAUUUACUCAAGACAAUGAGAAAAGAAGAAACUUUCUCUAUAAAUACUGGCAAAGGGUGUCACAAAAGAAUUCACAAAGCAAAGUUUACAAUUGAAAGUGAUAAUGAAUCAGAUGAUGUGCAGGAGCACAGUAUUCCUAAAAAGCUAAAGGCAUCCAGGGCAAAGAAAACAGAGGCUUGCUGCUCAGCCAGUCUUGCUUCACUUAUAAAGGAGUGAUUAACCAAGGAGAGUCAGUCAGAUGAAGGUAGUGCACUUUGCAAUGAUAAAUGCAAGUAUAAAAAAGAAGCCUUGGAGCUCAAAGAGAGGGUAAAAAUGCUGAAAAAUCAGAUGAAAAGACUUAACGAGCAAAUUGACAAUGGCAAUGUUGGAUGUUUUGAAAGGGUUGAACAUUGAUUACUUUUUCGUGGCUGACGUGGAUGUUGAAGUGCAUGGCUCAAAGUCUGUCUUACAAUACUGCAAAAGAAAGAGCAUCUCCGCUUCAUUUUUACUUUUGUAAACAGCUCUAGAGCAAUUAAGUCAACCGACAACGUUUAAACUGUUACCGAGAAUCGCAUGGCAAGAUUGAAACAGAAGAGAAAAUCUUUGCGUGAUAUUUUAAAUCAGAAAUACUGUGAAGCAACUGGAAUGGAAAAAGCAAAAGUGCCAUACACUUCUCUUUUGAAAGGGGAUUUCAAAUAUGUAUUAUGCAUAUGACUGUUCAAAACACGCAUCAUUACGGGAUCCAUCGAUUAUGGGAGAAGCAGCAUUGGAUUUAUUUAUUGAAAAA